GACGAACGCUGGCGGCGUGCCUAAUACAUGCAAGUAGAACGCUGAAGGUGGAGCUUGCUCUUCUGGAUGAGUUGCGAACGGGUGAGUAACGCGUAGGUAACCUGCCUGGUAGCGGGGGAUAACUAUUGGAAACGAUAGCUAAUACCGCAUAACAGUAGAUGUUGCAUGACAUUUACUUAAAAGUUGCAAUUGCAUCACUACCAGAUGGACCUGCGUUGUAUUAGCUAGUUGGUGGGGUAACGGCUCACCAAGGCGACGAUACAUAGCCGACCUGAGAGGGUGAUCGGCCACACUGGGACUGAGACACGGCCCAGACUCCUACGGGAGGCAGCAGUAGGGAAUCUUCGGCAAUGGACGGAAGUCUGACCGAGCAACGCCGCGUGAGUGAAGAAGGUUUUCGGAUCGUAAAGCUCUGUUGUAAGAGAAGAACGAGUGUGAGAGUGGAAAGUUCACACUGUGACGGUAUCUUACCAGAAAGGGACGGCUAACUACGUG
Molecule: ribosomal RNA, 495 nt
Filed under: uncultured bacterium
Lineage: Bacteria
Description: partial 16S ribosomal RNA
Rfam family: Bacterial small subunit ribosomal RNA
Source: RNAcentral